CUGAGUUCUGGGUCUAACCGACCCGACCUCCAACCCUUUGUUGUCCGACUCUGUUGCCUCGGGGGCGACCCUGACCUUCGGGUCUCGGGGACCCCCGGUGGACUAUACAAACUCUGCGUUAAUAUGUCGUCUGAGUAUUGAUUAAAUCAUAUCA
RNAcentral lists this unclassified non-coding RNA (154 nucleotides) under uncultured fungus. RNAcentral describes it as "sequence contains ITS1, 5.8S rRNA gene". The record is from RNAcentral. Lineage: Eukaryota; Fungi.